AAAAAAAAAUCUGCCUUGUGAGGUUGUGAAGGGGUUAAAAGAGUGGCUGUUAUUCUACCGAUGAUUCUCUGGUUUCAAACUGUAUUUUCAAGGUUGUUAGUCAUUCUUUUGCACCACAAAGGACAAUCUGGUACUGAGGUAUUUUCUUAUUUCUGAUGUGAAGAGAAUAAGGAAACCAAAGUUGUGGACGUGACACAAAUGGUGUCUGAGGCAGAGUUCUGAGAUCUAGAAGUAAAAUUCCAGGGAACGAAGUUCUAGGAAGUGCACCACGCCCCACUGUAUGUGAUGCUGCAUCCUAAUGGGUGAUGGGGGAUGAGGUGCGGGGAGGAGGCCAAGAAAACACUGAGAUAUUGAAAAACUUCCCCAAGGCACCCAGCUUGUCAGGAGCAGUCCUGACUGUUAAUCCCUUGUUUGCAUGACUCCACAGCCUAUGUUUUAAACUCUAUUAUUUCCCUAUUAUCUUUAGACAGGAGGAGGAUUUUUGUUGGGGGGUGACUUUAUAUGUUUUGCUCUUCUGUCCAGAAUGCCCAUAGAUGUUUCAUAGAGAUGUAGGGGAUAUGCAAGAAUUCCAUUCACUAGUCAUCAUUGACCCGCCCUUUUCUUUCAGAGGGGGCUUUCAGGCGAGAGAACAGCAUGUAAAAAGCAGUGAGGCAGAGGAGGGCCUGACACCUUUGAGGCAGAUGAGGGUUUGGAGCGGGAAGUGUGGGGUGAAGUGGUUGAGCCACUGGAUAGGAGGAUGGGGGCCUGGGCAGGAUGGCGUCACACACAGGCGCUGGCUUGGUCUUCCCGUGGGCCACCUCAGCAGUCCUGUCCCCAGCUCUUCACAACCUGGAGAACUGGAUCAGGUCCUGACUGAUCUCAGCAACCGACCGGCAGC
Myotis davidii is the source of this 877-nucleotide long non-coding RNA. RefSeq lists it as uncharacterized. The transcript is spliced from 2 exons. The record is from RefSeq and is a predicted model, not a curated record. Lineage: Eukaryota; Metazoa; Chordata; Mammalia; Chiroptera; Vespertilionidae.